Molecule: ribosomal RNA, 486 nt
Filed under: uncultured bacterium
Lineage: Bacteria
Description: partial 16S ribosomal RNA
Rfam family: Bacterial small subunit ribosomal RNA
Source: RNAcentral
AUUGAACGCUGGCGGCAUGCCUUACACAUGCAAGUCGAACGGCAGCACGGGUGCUUGCCCCUGGUGGCGAGUGGCGAACGGGUGAGUAAUACAUCGGAACAUGUCCUGUAGUGGGGGAUAGCCCGGCGAAAGCCGGAUUAAUACCGCAUACGAUCUACGGAUGAAAGCGGGGGACCUUCGGGCCUCGCGCUAUAGGGUUGGCCGAUGGCUGAUUAGCUAGUUGGUGGGGUAAAGGCCUACCAAGGCGACGAUCAGUAGCUGGUCUGAGAGGACGACCAGCCACACUGGGACUGAGACACGGCCCAGACUCCUACGGGAGGCAGCAGUGGGGAAUGUUGGACAAUGGGCGAAAGCCUGAUCCAGCAAUGCCGCGUGUGUGAAGAAGGCCUUCGGGUUGUAAAGCACUUUUGUCCGGAAAGAAAUCCUUGGCUCUAAUACAGUCGGGGGAUGACGGUACCGGAAGAAUAAGCACCGGCUAACUACGUG